This is a non-coding RNA of Oryctolagus cuniculus (rabbit), 8157 nucleotides long. Lineage: Eukaryota; Metazoa; Chordata; Mammalia; Lagomorpha; Leporidae. The record is from RefSeq and is a predicted model, not a curated record.
CCUAGUUCACAAUAGUACAAUUCUUUUUCACAGAUGAUGCUAAUCACUCAGCUAUUCUUCCUAGUCAUUAAGUCCAUCACAUAAAUGAAACUAUUAUAUGUGGAUAAACUCCAAAGCUUCCUACCAAGCAGCAUAGUUAUUAACUACUCAUUUGUUAAAAUAAGGCUAUGUGAAAAUAAUCAUUGAUUUGUAAGAAACAGUUACUUCACGUAAACUGUAUUUUACUUUUAAAAGUAGAGGCAGGGGCCAGCACCGUGGCUCACUUGGUUAAUCCUCCGCCUGUGGCGCCGGCAUCCCAUAUGGGCACCAGUUCUAGCCCCGGUGCUCCUCUUCCACUCCAGCUCUCCUCUGUGGCCCAGGAAGGCAGUGUAGGAUGGCCCAAGUGCUUAGGCCCCUGCACCCACAAGGAAGACCAGGAAGAAGCAAGCACCUGGCUCCUGGUUUCGGAUUGGCGCAGUGCUGGCCGUAGUGGCUAUUUGGGGAGUUAACCAAUGGAAGGAAGACUUUUCUCUCUGUCUCUCUCUCUCACUGUCUGCAACUCUACCUGUCAAAUAAAAAAAAAGUAGAUGCAUGGUUCAUAUCUUUGAUAACAAAAGACAGGGAUCAUUCAUGAUGUAAAAUCUUUGUCUUUGACAGACUAUGUUAAUUCUUUCAAAUUAAUUAAAACCAGCCUACCUCUCCAGCUUCACUCUCUUGCCCUCUUAAAUCCAGCCCACCAGUCUUCUUUUAAUCCCGUAUGCUUUCCUUCAGAUUCCUCUCUGAAGUGCCUUAGCUCCUAAUUAUUCCUCUGCAAGGAAUGUAUAACUUAUUCCCUGCCACUCCCCUCCCCCAACCUACCCCAGGGUAAUUCUUCACCACAUCCUUCAGCUAUAAGUUUGAAAGUCACAUUCUCAUCAGAAAAGCCUUCUCUCACCUAUCUUUUUCAAAUCACCUAAUAUAUGUCUACUCGAUGGCAUUUCUCACAGUUUCAAUUUUAAAUGAUUUUGUGUGCUUUUUUAUUUAUAUUUUUUACUGCCCCAAAGAGUGAAAGUUCUUGAAAGGUGGGCAUAAUAUCUGAUUUUGUUCUCUAUAGCACAGUGAUUGGCAAAUGAAUGUUGCCUGAUAAAUGUUCAUAGAAAAAAAAAAAAAGGAACAAGCAGGCCAGUAAGAGAAGUGUUUCUUCUAUUGCCUUUGUUGCCAAUGAUGAGACAAAACAUGUUGAGAACUACACAUGUGCCAGGCACUGUAGUCAGUUUCUUACAGAAUCUGUUAUGUACAUGUAAUGAAAGUUACAUUGGCAAAUGACAAUCUUUUUCAGGAGUCAGUAUUUCAAUAUGUACAGUGAUGAAAUUAAACUAGAACAGAUGUCUCAAAUUUGAAUGUCCACAGCGGGCUAGAAGACUACUCAAGUGAACUGCAUACAUUUAGCGAACGUUAAGAACACAGUGAAGACAUGACAGCUCUAGAUGAUAACCACCAUGCAACAGGGCCCCAGACUCUACAGAGCUCAAGAUUUUUCAAGAUAACUUUCUGUUUGGUUUUUAAUGUAAUCCAAUCUUUAAAUAUGUAAUGUAAUUUAAUGUAAUCCAAUCUUUAAAUACGAGAAUGUUUUUGAAAAUAUUUAUGAAUCCCAAAAUAAAUUCAUUUCUAUCAGACUCAGAUGUCAGGAAACUCCAAUGAAAUCUGAAUACAAAGUCUCGUAAAGUGUGAUAGUUGAUUUUAUAGCAUCAACUUGAAUGGAUUAAGGAAUACUCAGUUCAGAAAAAGGGAGACCCUUAUUUUGAAUGUGUCUAUGAGGAUGUAUACAAAUGGGAUGAGCGUGUGAAUCUGAGCGGACUAGGUGGGCAGAUUUGGCUUUGGGGAAAGCAAGCACCAACAACUGGCUAGGGAUCUGGAGGAACCAGGUGCAGAAGAUGCACUGUUACCUUCUCUGAGAGCUAUGACUUGCCUGACUCCUGCCUUGGACAUCAGAUUCUGAUCCUUGUAGUCCAGGACCUUAUGCCAGCAGUCCCCUUGCUGGCACUCGGGCUUGGGCCUCAAACUGAGAGAACUACACCCACUGCUUUGGGACUGGAACUGAGCCAUGCUACUGACAUUCCAGGGUCUCCAGCCUGCAGUUAAGCUGCCCUGGGACUUCUCUUUUGCCAUAAAUAAAUCUCCCUUCAUAUAUCUCUAUUCAUAUCUUAUCAAUUCUGUGUUUUCUUGAGAACCUUGACUAAUACAUAAAGUUUCAACCAGCUCUGACUCUAUGAGAUUUAUUCCUUAAAAGAGUUUGCUAUUCUGCAUUUCAUGUGGGAAUUUUGAUAGCACAAUUUCUCUAAAAGGCUCAAGCCAAAGGCAGCUUCUCUUGUGACUUCUUUUGAGUCCCCCGAUAUAAUACCAAUGAUUUGUGUCAAGCGCAUUUCAGUUCUUACAAAAGCUACUUGAAGGUGCACCCUGGCUGGCGCGGUGGCUCAAUAGGCUAAUCCUACACCUGCGGCGCCGGCACACCAGGUUCUAGUCCCAGUCGGGGCGCCGGAUUCUAUCCCGGCUGCCCCUCUUCCAGUCAAGCUUUUUGCUGUGGCCCGGGAGUGCAGUGGAGGAUGGCCCAAGUCCUUGGGCCCUGCACCCACAUGGGAGACCAGGAGGAGCACCUGGCUCCUGGCUUCAGAUCAGCGGCAGUGCGCUGGCCGCAGCACACCGGCUGCGGCGGCCAUUAGAGGGUGAACCAAUGGUAAAGGAAGACCUUUCUCUCUGUCUCUCUCUCAUUGUCCAUUCUGCCUGUCAAAAAAUAAAAAUAAAUAAAUAAAAAAAGGUGUACCCUCUAUUUUACAUAGGACAAAACUGCUCAUGCCCUCCUUAAUGAAAAAAAAAACCAGUUCUUGGUUGAGGUAAGUUGAAUUAGCCUAACUGGGUCCCCAAAAAAGACAUUUUUUUCUUCUUGCUACAAGUUACCAAAAUAAUACAUGCAGAUUUUUUGAUACUCCCUGUCACUGAUUCCAUGGCAAAGCUAUAUAAGCUCAUUAAAGCUCUAAGUGAUGGCUGUAAAUUUCCCUAGAGAAAGGGAGAGGAAGUCAUAAUGAUGAUACACAGAACUGCAUGAAAUAAGGCAACAAGCAGCAAGAUGAAUAUUUUCCAGUUAGUAUAACACCUUCCGGGUUGAUUGUCUUUAAUUAGCAAGCACUGCAACAUUAUAUUUACUAGAGAAAAAUACACUGACUGAUAGCUCUUUUUAUGUUUGUCUUUGAUAGAAUACCAUUAACUAACAUCGUCAUUCCAUUACUCUGGAUGCCAAGAACACCACCACAUCAACAUAAAGCUAAGAUGCAGCCAUGAAACUCUGAAGCUUGAAGGAAGACAGAGAAAAUGAAGACAGAGAAAAGCCUUAAGGAUUGUACCAUGGGUACUCCAAUAUCUAGAAAGAGGUGAGGAGGAAGAAAAACAAAGCUGUGGGGAGCAAUCUGGACGGGACUAAGUUACUGGAAUUAGGACUUAUUCUAUGCAUCUGGUCUCCCACAAUAUGGCGCUGGGAGAGAAGAAAACAGCUUCUGCACAGCUGCCUCCAGUUCAGCCAAUAAACUGUAGGACUUGCUCCUGAUUGGAGGAGAGCAGCGUACUCGGCGUGUGGGCAGCCGAGUUAGGAUUGGCGGAGGAGGACUAUAAAGGGGGAGGGAGACGGCAUGCACCGGGAACAUCUAAGGGGAACAUCUAAGGGGAACGCCUGUGCAGCCCCCGAGAGAGCCGGCCGGCGGUGUGCUGCUCCCCUGCGGAAGUGGGGAAUGUGGCCAGGGGGAACCGCCCUUCCACGGAGGUGGAAGGGACAGUAGCCACCCCGGGAAGAACCAGCAGCAAACCCGGGGAGGGCCGAGCAGACGAAAGAACAGCGCAGGAUCCUGUGUCGUUCCUCCACGAAGACGGGGAGCGACACAAAGCCAAGGAAGGAAGGAAGGGAAGGAAAGAAAAAGUGCUUUGUGUUGUAAAGUAAAAUAUCAGAGUUCAUGUCACACAAUUUUAACUCAAAGUAUGAAUAAACAAAUUCAAAAUUUAUAAAAAGAGAAAAAGAAAAUAUGACCAGUAGACAUAUUUUAUUAUGCAAUCUUCAUUAUUUGGGAGCUAUUUUCUCAAAAAUUAACAGCAUGAUUCUUCAUAGAAAAUAGCAAAGAGUGUUUAUUGUCAGUGAGAAAAUUUGAAUUUUAAAUGAAAGCUCUAAAUUUAAAAAACUUUAUCUGUCACCAUGAAAUUUUCCCAAGACUUUCCAGAUGACAGCAAUGAUGUCAUGUGGCUUUUUGAUAUUUUAUAAUGAAAUAUGUCAACAUUUGGCAGAUCUAUUUAACUUAGUGAACUAACAUUUUCUAAGUAAUUAGCAUAUGAUGUUACAAAAUCAUACACUGGUGAAAAAUGUCCUUAAAGUAAGAGACCAGUGGAUUUUAAUGUAGCAGAAAAUGAAAAGUUUAUUUAGAUGGCUUCAAAUUUCUCAUUACAUCUGUCUUUUAAGAACCUAUUAUUAGUUUGAGUUUUGGUGCAAUUGUAUCAAAGAAGAAUAUCUGUAAUUAUUUGAAAGCUUUUAAAAUUAUUCUUCCUUUUUCAAUUAUAUAUCUGUAAGUAGGCAAUUUUCUUUAACUAGUUGGACCAAAACAACAUAUCACAACAGACAAUAUAAAGGAAGAUAUGAGAAUCUACCCUUCCAUUAGGCCAGGGAUUAUAGAUUUUCAAAGAAGUGAACAAUGUCAAUAUUAUAUUUGUUUCAUUUUUGAGAAUAUAACUGUUAUCUUAGAAAUUAUUUAUGCUAACAUGGAAUUAUUACUUUUAAUAAAUUUUAAAUGUGCCUAUUUUAAUUUUCAAUAAAAAUAAAUAAAAGCUUUUGAACUUCUUUGAGACCACAAAGUUCAAAAGUGCUGUCUUAGUGAAAACUCAACAGAAAUAAUGUGUAUCAGAACACUAUAGAAAAGCAUAAAAAUAUUCAUAAUAGCAUUGUUAGGAAUAUUUGUAAUACCAAAAUUCUCUCAAAAAUGCAGCAGUAGAAGAAUGGAUAAAUACAUUGUGGUGUAAUCAUGUCACAUGUUUCACGAAAAGACUGAAUAAGUAAUAAUUAUAUGAAAAAACAAGGUUAAAUCUCCAAGGAAUACAAUAUUAAAAUUAACUGUCCAAAACCAAAGUAAAUUACAGCUAAUUAUUUACGGGUAGAUGUUGUUAGGAGACAAUUCUUGGGUUUCUCACAGUUGUGCACAUCCUUGUACUGGAAUAUCGAGACUAUAAUUUUCAAGGAUUUUGGAGAGUGCGCAGCCUUUGAAGACAGAGAAGGUAGACUGUUCUUGAGCAAAGGGCUCAUGUGCUUACAGUCUAGAAACACGGGGGUAGUAGCUCCCUCUAAAGCAAAUUACUGACCAAAUUCACUAAAAGCUCAGAGUUUCUCUCUUUGUUGCAAGCUGUUGCCUGUGCAGGCAUUACAUUACUCAUUGAAUAUUUUUUUUAAAUUUUUAUAGACUUUUUUUUUUGAUAGGCAGAGUGGACAAUGAGAGAGAGAGAGAGAGAGACAGAGAGAAAGGUCUUCCUUUUUGCUGUUGGUUCACCCUCCAAUGGCCACUGGCUGGCGCACCUCGCUGAUCUGAAGUCAGGAGCCAGGUGCUCCUCCUGGUCUCCCAUGGGGUGCAGGGCCCAAGCACUUAGGCCAUCCUCCACUGCACUCCCGGGCCACAGCAGAGAGCUGGCCUAGAAGAGAGGCAACUGGGACAGAAUCCACCCCGACUGGGACUAGAACCUGGUGUGCCGGCGCCGCAGGCAGAGGAUUAGCCUAUUGAGCCGCGGCGCCAGCCACUCAUUGAAUAUUGAUCAUCUAUAGCCACAUAGGUACAAGAAUGCUGCUAAUCUGGCUACAGUUAAUGCUGUAGUAAACUGUGCUUUGUUUCUUAUGCAGGUUUCUCAUGUCUCUACCAGUACCGAUGAGUAACUUUGUUAACUUUCAAGUACAGUAAAUUUUCAGACCUUUCACAGGUCGGACAUUCAGUCAUCAAUAAAACAAUAUAUUUGAUGGUGAUGAUAACGACUUACAUUUGUUGAUUCUUUAAUAUCAAGAAAUUGACAAAUCUAUAUAGGAGACACCCCAAAAAUUAUGAUGUUAUAAAGAGACAAACUGUUCAGAAAGCUUCAAGGUGCAAGUGAUGGGAGCCGGCAUUUUAGGAUAAUGGGUAAAGCCACCACCUAAAGUGCAGGCAUCCCAUAUGGGCACUGGUUCAAAUCCUGGAUGCUCCACUUCUGAUCCAGCUCCCUGCUAAUGUGCCUGGGAAAGCAGAGGAAGAUGGCCCAAGUGCUUGGGCCCCUGUUCCUAUGUGGGAGACCUGGAGGAAGCUCCUGGAGGCUUCAGCCUGACCCACCCCUGGCCAUUGCAGCCAUUUGGGGAGUGAAUCUGCAGAUGGAAAAUCUGUCUCUCCCUCUCUACCUCUGCCUCUCCUUCUCUGUAACUCUGACGUUCAAAUAAAUAAAUCUUUUUUUAAAAAAAAGUUCAAGAGAUGAAGAAAGAGAAAGACAAAAAAAAAGGAAUGUGUUUACGGAUGAGAAUCUCUCUGAAAAAGAAUUUUUUUAAGAUUUAUUUAUUUAUAUGAAAGUCAGAGUUACACAGAGAGAGAACAGAGGCAGAGAGAGAGAGAGAGACAGAGAGAGAAAGAGAGAGAGGUCUUCCAUCCACUGCUUCAUUCCCCAAUUGGCAGCAAUGGCCUCAACUGCGCCAAUCCGAAACCAGGAGCCUGGAGCUUCUUCUGGGUCUCCCACAUGGGUGCAAGGGCCCUUGGGCCAUCCUCUACUGCUUUCCCAGGCCAUAACAGAGAGCUGGAUCAGAAGCAGAGCAGACGGGACUCAAACCUGCACCCACAUGGGAUGUCAGUACUGCAGACAGUGGUUUUUCCUGCUACGCCACAGUGCCAGCCCCAAGAAGAAAAUUUACACUAAGACCUAAAUGUUGAAAGAAGCAAAUCAUGUGAAUACAAAUAAAGGCUCAAAUCACAACAAUUUGAGAUGUUCAAAGAAAUGAAGAUAAUCUGGGGGUAGUGAGAAGAUGCCAGAGAAGUUGUGAGUAGAUACUUUGUAGACAGCCUUGAGUGCCUUGUAAAUGAGUCUAAAUUUUUUGCUGAGUGAAAUAACAAACCGAAAAACAGGUUUUCAACUCUAUUACAUUUACCCUUCACCAAAAGUAUUAGCUGCUGAAUAGUGAAUGGGUUAAGAGGAAAUAAGAAUGGAGGAAGAAGACAAACUAGGAAACUACUGAAGUGAACUACAAGAGAGAUGACAGUGAACUAGACAGGAGCUGAGGCAGUGCAGUGACGGAUACAUACAAGCACUGAGAAUAUUUGGAUAAAAGUUUCCAACAAAUUCUCAUCAAAUUUCAGAUGUAGAAGCUGAGGAACAAAAAAGACUGAAUACUCACAGGCUUGAUUCAUUUAAGAAGAUGGCAUUUGAUAAAAUGGUGAGGGUCCUUAAUGGUGGGUGAUUAAGACAGCAGAGGCUUCCAGCUGCCCACAAAUAUCCUAUCUCCUGUAUUAACAAGACCCUUAUAAUACAUGGUUCAGGAUUAUGCCCAAACAAAACAAAAUGAAACAUUCCCUAGCUUACUGUGGCCAAGAAUAUGAGGACAAUUCAAAGCUUGAUUAUCAUAUAAAUGGUAUAAUGUCCAUCUCACAAAGGUUUGCAUGAGUAUCAAAUAAGAUAACGCGUUCCUUUGAGGCUGGUGCUAUGGAAUCUCAUAUGGGCGCCGGUUUGAGUCCCAGCCACUCCACUUCUGAUCCAGCUCCCUACUAAUGCACCUGGGAGGGCAGCAGAGGAUGGCCCAAGUCCUUUGGCUCCUGUACCUACAUCGGAAACCAGGAAGAAGCUCCUGGCUCCUCUCUUCAGCUAGGUCCAGGCCAGCUCUGGCUGUUGCAGCCAUUUGGGGAGUGAAACAGUGAUGCAUGAUGGAUCUCUCUGUCUCUCUCUCUAACUAUGCCUUUCAAACAAACAAAAAAUAAAAAAGCAUAAGACAUCACAUAUAGCUUUCAUGAAAGCAUUUUCUCCAUUAAUACUUCCUGGAUGUGCCACUCAAAACUCCACAGUGUCCUGGUUCUCUCUCAUUGGAUUGAUGAAUGAAAAGGAAACCAAUUUAACACACUCUUAUAAAGAACAGUAAAAGAAUAGUAUUCUAAAGAAUGAAUGCUUUGUCACUAAAGGUGUUAA